GAUGAACGCUGGCGGCGUGCCUAACACAUGCAAGUCGAACGUGAGAGAGUAGCAAUAUUCUUGAAAGUGGCGCACGGGUGAGUAAUACGUAGGUGACCUGCCCUGGAGUGGGGGAUAACAGCUAGAAAUGGCUGCUAAUACCGCAUAACACCAAAUUGCUGGGAAGUGAAUUGGUAAAAACUCUGGUGCUUCAGGAGGGGCCUGCGGCCGAUUAGCUAGUUGGCGGGGUAAGAGCCCACCAAGGCAGUGACCGGUAGCUGGUCUGAGAGGAUGAUCAGCCACACUGGGACUGAGACACGGCCCAGACUCCUACGGGAGGCAGCAGUGGGGAAUAUUGGACAAUGGGCGCAAGCCUGAUCCAGCAAUGCCGCGUGUGUGAAGAAGGCCUGCGGGUUGUAAAGCACUUUCAGUGGGGAAGAACGGAUACGGGCCAAUACCCGCAUCACUGACGUUACCCACAGAAGAAGCACCGGCUAACUCCGUGCCAGCAG
This 491-nucleotide ribosomal RNA is filed under the name uncultured bacterium. RNAcentral's name for it is "bacterial SSU rRNA". It matches the Rfam family "Bacterial small subunit ribosomal RNA", at positions 28 to 514 of the family's 1533-position model. The record is from RNAcentral.